RNAcentral lists this ribosomal RNA (429 nucleotides) under uncultured bacterium. RNAcentral describes it as "bacterial SSU rRNA". It matches the Rfam family "Bacterial small subunit ribosomal RNA", at positions 355 to 776 of the family's 1533-position model. The record is from RNAcentral.
UGGGGAAUAUUGCACAAUGGGCGAAAGCUUGAUGCAGCGACGCCGCGUGGAGGAUGAAGGUUUUCGGAUUGUAAACUCCUGUUAAGUGGGAAGAAAGAACGGGUCUGAAUAAGGCCUGGAGAUGACGGUACCACUAGAGAAAGCACCGGCAAACUUCGUGCCAGCAGCCGCGGUAAUACGAAGGGUGCAAGCGUUAUUCGGAGUUACUGGGCGUAAAGAGCGCGUAGGCGGUUUAUUAAGUCAUUUGUUAAAGAUCCCGGCUUAACCGGGAAAAGGCAGCUGAUACUGGUAGACUAGAGUAUAAGAGAGAGAAGCGGAAUUCUCGGAGUAGCGGUAAAAUGCGUAGAUCUCGAGAGGAACACCGGAAGCGAAGGCGGCUUCUUGGCUUAUAACUGACGCUCAAGUGCGAAAGCGUGGGGAGCAAACAGG